UAAUAACCCAGAUUUCCGCCUUGGAUAAGAAACAAAACUGAUUUAAUUACUUAUCCUUCGUCCUUAGCGAACAAACCAUUUUCAUUCUCAGAAAUUCCCUUCGUCCUUAGCAAACCCUAGUCUGAAAUUGCCACACCUCCGACCACCACCGCAUCCUUCUCCAUUGUGACCGUCGCCGCACCUCCGACCACCACCGCACCUCCGACGACGCGAUUUCAACCACCAGCUUUUGACGACGACUCUUGAGCAGCAUUCACGCCGGAGCUUCUCUCAUUCUGCUGCCUCGGACGACGCGAGUUCCCUGCUGUCACUACUGGAAUCCGACGGUGCCACCGCCCUCUGUGUCCCCACGACCUGUACUCAGAUUUCGGUGAGGCAGCAAAAGCUCGUCGCCGUCGCUCCCUUGGCUUGACUAAACAGGUCAUUCAUCAACCCUUAUUUGGAUUCAUUACACCCCCAUAAUCGUAACAAUCUGCACAAUUGAAGCUAUACAUGCUAACGUAGGGUCCUGUGCAACCUGAUUCAAAGCAAUGCGGGUUUUAUGUGAUGAGGUUUAUGAAGGAGAUAGUAAAGGCGAAAGUGAUGACUCCAUUUCUUUGACUAAACCGUUUCAUAAAUCUGUGUAUUCUCAAUGUGAGAUUGACGAGGUUCGUGAGGAUUGGGCUUCUUGUGUGAUCCAUGAGAUUGACAAGUGAAAGGACAAUAUUGGUUUAUGAAGACCUUCGUUAGUUUUGGAUAUGAUGUUCCAACGGCUACUAUUUCGAGCUUUUUUUGUUUGUAUUAGUUUAGAGUGGAUUCAAACAUUAACCCAAGCUUUUAGGAUAUUGUGCUAUAAUAUGGAUGUAAGAUUGUUAAUGUUGGAUAAUUAAUGUAUGGAUAUGUUAUUGAGGAUUUGAA
Salvia miltiorrhiza (redroot sage) is the source of this 897-nucleotide long non-coding RNA. RefSeq lists it as uncharacterized. The record is from RefSeq and is a predicted model, not a curated record. The transcript is spliced from 5 exons. NCBI's taxonomy places the organism in Eukaryota, Viridiplantae, Streptophyta, Magnoliopsida, Lamiales, Lamiaceae.